RNAcentral lists this long non-coding RNA (1912 nucleotides) under Jatropha curcas. RNAcentral describes it as "long non-coding RNA (JCUR_LNC002562)". The record is from RNAcentral. Lineage: Eukaryota; Viridiplantae; Streptophyta; Magnoliopsida; Malpighiales; Euphorbiaceae.
UACAUGAUAGAAAUUUUAAUAAGUAAUACAUCAAUAAUUUCUAAAUUUAUUAUACAUAACCAUCGUAAUUGUGGAACAAUCUAAGAACUUAAAAUUUCAAAAUAUUUAUUAAGGUAUUUUCUAGACUUCUGGUGACAGAGGAAAACGAGUUAUUGGAAGACCUGUAACUUGAAAAAUAUUAAGGCAAGGGUGAGCGCCUAACUCAGUGAGUAGAAUUAGAUAACUUUCUCACCCUGCACAAUUACAUAAAUGCAUAUUUAAUUCAAUCUAGUCAUCUCAUUAGUUAUAUAACUAUACAGUCAAUCACACAAAUGGCAUAGCAACAACAAUCACAAAUACUAUCACAUUCACAUAACCACAUCAAGUGGAAAUUGAUCAUUCUGGAAUGGGCAAUAUAAGUUAUCCAACGCUACUCACAGUUCCAAAUUAUCCUUAACACGACUAUUUUUAUUAUUACUCACAGUUCCAAAUUAUCCCUAACACGACUAUUUUUAUUAUUGCUCUUUUUUUGCUUUUGUCUUGUCAUUCUGAAACUUUGUAAGCAUCUAGAAAAGAAAUUCUAAGUAAAAAUUCUAAUUCAAGAAAUUUAGUUUUCAUUCAUUUGCUAAGUACGUCACCACAACCGCUUUUCUUAAUUUGUCAAACUAUAUAGUUACAAAUCUCUUAUUUAUCUAUUUGUCCUGGUUUAUAACUUUAGUUUAAAGUGUUCUCGAGUAAAUUUAAUGUAUUAUAAUAAUAUCAAUUAUCAAUAAUAAUAAUAAUAAUAACAAUAAUAAUAAUAAUAAUAGCAAUACAAACAAUCUUAGUAGUUAUUAUCCACUAAUGUUAGAACUAAGCAAGUUCUUUAGCGUUCGACAGCAUUCUCCCUAUAAAUUGGAUUAACCAACUCUAAUUGAAUUUUUUUACAAGAAAAUAGUGUUGGGACUUAACGUUUACCGAUUAAAAAUCGAAUUGAAGAUUCGUGAUUACCGCAAAAAGGGGAAAAUUUCGCCUCUAGAAGCCUUAUCGGGGUCUAUCCCGCCGGUCAUUAGACCACCAGCACAACAGCUGAAAAAUCAGUUUCAACGAAAAAGGAAUCUGAAUUCCUUGGAUUUUCUCCUAAAGUCCAUAUCCAGCUUGAAUUUGUAGAGAGGAGAAGCCCUUUAGCCAAAAAUCAGCUCAAUAGUCUCCUUUGCCAUGAUUCGUGGAAAAUUCGCAAGACAGAGCUAAACGCUGGAAUUUAUAAAGGGAAAAUAAUCGUGAGGUGAUGGAGAGUCAAUCGAAAGCCUCAAUGAAGGCUGUCUUAGCCGAUAACGGUAGCAAUUGCCGAAAAAUGUGCUGCUACGGUAUCGAACCCCUUACUUACGGUUUCUCUCGAUCCAGGCCUUUAUUAUGCGAACAGUGGCCACAGGCAUGUUUGUCUCAUCGACCUUUCGAUUUUUAAGCCCUCACUCACCGGAAAGAAUGGCCAUUUGGCCGAAAAACGAGAAGGAAAUGAGGAGGGGACAGUUGACGAUAAGGAGAGGAGAAGGAAGCUUCUUUCUUUUUUGUUUUGGCUUUCUCUCUCCUUAUUUGAUUAGUAUAAAAAUCUGAUUUAGUCCAAAGCAAAUGGGUUGGGUUCAAAUCUGCUUUUAGAGGAUUCUGCUCUAGUUUAAAUAGUUUUAUACUCAAUUUUCCUAGGAUUUUAUGUGAUUUAAGUUUGAUCGAAAUUAUUUCGAUUCGUUUAGUUACUUUUAGAAUCUCCACUUAGUAAAACCAAGCUUCUUUAAUAAGUUUUGAUGGUCAAGUAUUAGUAAUUGUAACGAUUUUUAGUUCUGAUAACAAAUUUUUCAGCUUAAAUCUGAUUUUACGGAUUUAGGCUCAGAACGAAAUUGUUUAUAAUCCAUGUGAUCCAAAAUUCAGAUUUUUGAUUUAAUUAAAAUUUAAAAGUUUU